UACGUAGGAGACGAGCGUUGUCCGGAGUUACUGGGCGUAAAGGGUGCGCAGGCGGCCUUGCGCGUCGCGAGUGAAAUCUCCCGGCUCAACUGGGAGGGUGGUCGCGAGACGGCAGGGCUUGAGGCUCGGUGAGGGGGCGUGGAAUUCCGGGUGGAGCGGUGAAAUGCGUAGAGAUCCGGAGGAACACCGACGGCGUAGGCAGCGCCCUAGACGAGACCUGACGCUCAGGCACGAAAGCGCGGG
This 243-nucleotide ribosomal RNA is filed under the name uncultured bacterium. RNAcentral describes it as "partial 16S ribosomal RNA". It matches the Rfam family "Bacterial small subunit ribosomal RNA", at positions 524 to 765 of the family's 1533-position model. The record is from RNAcentral.